RNAcentral lists this ribosomal RNA (484 nucleotides) under uncultured bacterium. RNAcentral's name for it is "partial 16S ribosomal RNA". It matches the Rfam family "Bacterial small subunit ribosomal RNA", at positions 30 to 507 of the family's 1533-position model. The record is from RNAcentral.
AUUGAACGCUGGCGGCAGGCCUAACACAUGCAAGUCGAGCGGAUGAAGGGAGCUUGCUCCUGGAUUCAGCGGCGGACGGGUGAGUAAUGCCUAGGAAUCUGCCUGGUAGUGGGGGAUAACGUCUGGAAACGGGCGCUAAUACUGCAUACGUCCUGCGGGUGAAAGUGGGGGAUCUUCGGACAUCACGCUAUCAGAUGAGCCUAGGUCGGAUUAGCUAGUUGGUGGGGUAAAGGCCUACCUAGGCGACGAUCCGUAACUGGUCUGUGAGGAUGAUCAGUCACACUAGAACUGGAACACGGUCCAGACUCCUACGGGAGGCCGCAGUGGGGAAUAUUAGACAAUAGGCGAAAGCCUGAUCCAGCCAUGCCGCGUGUGUGAAGAAGGUCUUCGGAUUGUAAAGCACUUUAAGUUGGGAGGAAGGGCAGUAAGUUAAUACCUUGCUGUUUUGACGUUACCAACAGAAUAAGCACCGGCUAACUUCGUG